Long non-coding RNA from Herpailurus yagouaroundi (jaguarundi), 3029 nucleotides. RefSeq lists it as uncharacterized. The record is from RefSeq and is a predicted model, not a curated record. The transcript has 3 exons. NCBI's taxonomy places the organism in Eukaryota, Metazoa, Chordata, Mammalia, Carnivora, Felidae.
CUCCCGGGAGCCGAUUGGCUGGGUGCCGCCGGAGCCCCGCCCCUGCCCAGGUAGCGGGUUGGGAGGGGGGCUCCCCCCGCGGGAGCCACCUCUGGGCGGAGAUCCGGCUCCCCGAGGGCACCUGCGCCACGUAACCCCCUACAGCCGCGGGGACGCCGAAAGCCGUUACCGAGCGUCCUCUGUGCAUCAGGUUCUGCGUCAGACCCUUCCCAGACGCCACGUCCACACACCUUACCGGACGGCGCGCCCAGGCGCGAGUCACCUGCUGGCGGCGGCUCCUGGGGACAGACGCACCAGGACACGCGGUUUCUAUGUAGGGCCCCCUCUCCGAGGCUUACCUGCUAUACCUGCGGAGGCCCAGGCGGGCCGCGCAGGAUGCGGAGGCUCCUGGGCGCUGCGCGGGGAGUGCAGGCUCUGGAGCCAGGCCCAGCUGGUUCAACUCCCAGCACGUGCUUCAACCUGCAGUGUGGGCCUGGGCAACUCAGGAGAGCCCGCUGGGACUCAGCGCCUCAUCUGCAGGAUGGAAAAACGACACAGACCUGCCCGACGGCUGUUAUCUCAAGGCCAAAGGGUGGUCAUUCUCACCCUUGUCCUUAUUCAUGUUCACGUUUUGCACUUAACCUUUUGAAAACACCUGUUACGAGCCAAGUGCCGUGCUAGAUCUUGCAGACGCAGAGGAUGAUAGAUACAUCUUUAACAAUUUAAAGCAGAUGCUCCCCCUUCACAGUUUGACGUCUGGAGCACAAACUCUUCACAAGGCAAAAUGUCAGAGCAUUGCCGCCGCCGGGCGCCACCGGCUACUGACUGCCCGUGGGGAGGCAGCCGGGAGCCCCUGAACUAACCCAAGUGUAAGUGAAGUUGGCAUGGGGAGCCGGUGAACCCUUCUAAGGCAGAUGCCUCGAUUCCCGUUGUGAGCUCACCAAGAAUGGGCGUUGCCUCCUAUGGGCUUUAUCUCCUUGGGUCCGGAACCACACCUUUCUUUCAUUCAUGUAUUCACUCAUUGAACAAACAUUGACUACACAUAAAUACGAAUUUGCACCCCCUGACCCAGGGUCUGGAGCAGAGGGAAACUUCCAGCUCUACUCAAGUGCACCAGCUUAAUUCAUCCAGCCAGUAUUUGCACCACACUCAAAGUAUCUGUCUCCCGAGAAAUCGACACGAUGCCAAUAUUUAGUUCAGCGGAGUGGAAUGUUCAUUUCAUGAACAGGUGCAGAACUCCCUGAGCCAGGCACGGUCCAGGUUUGGGGAACACAGAGCUGUUGAAAAUACUGCUUCCCCCAGUUCGCAGCCUGGAGGGGAGAAGAGAAACAGACCAUCACAAUGUCUGUUACAAAUGUCAUGUUGCAAGUAUGUAACUGAGUGCGCGGGACCCCACAGUCCGGGAGAACCAACUCUUCAGCCGGCAUCACAGAACGGGCUUCACAAAGGAGGUGACAUCAGAGCUGCAUCUGGAAGGAUGAGUGGUUUACCAGGCACAGAAGGGAGAAGCCCAAUUGGUACGGCUCCAGGAAAGUGAGAUCCCAGAUUUCACCAUUUAUAUGCAUGCAUUCAUUCAUCUCCCCCAGAUGGCAAAACCAGUCAGAGGAAAAUUCUUCACUGUGUUGAUCAGACGGAGCCCAUCGUAAAAAUGCCCAGGGGAAGGGCCCAGAGAGGUAGCUCAAAGUCUCCGAGGGCUUGGCUGGAGCCCAGCCCUCACCUCUACCUUGACCUUGGGCGAGGCCCGUAGCCCGUACUGAGCCUCGUAUCCUCAUCUGGCAGUCAGGGAUGAUGGCGGCCACCCGAACCAGCACGCGGGGCCUUCCGGAGACUCGCGACAGGAAAUGAGACGUGACUGCCCCGGACCCACACUGGGCGGGCUCCCUGCCGGGUCACCAUUUCCCUCUGUGAACGGUGCUUUCUCGCAGUCGCUAUAAACGUAGACUCUGGAGCUGGGCGGUCUGCUUCAAACCCUGGUGGGGCUUCUUUUUGCCAUGGCUGUGUGCUCUCAGGCAAGUUGCUUGCACUCUCUGGGCCUCGGUUUCCUCGUUCCUGAAGCGAGGGUGAUAGUGCUGCCUCAGAGGGUGGCUGUGAGGGUGAAGUGAGCCGGGAAAGACGUACAGGAGGUCAUUGCUAGCGGAAGUCGUCUCAUCUGGGCCUGGCCCAACCCCCUGGGGGGGAUCGGGAUUGGUCCCAGUCCACUGCCUGUUCUCAUCAGUGCCACGUAGGGGACCGCGUGUGGGGUCUUCUGGAACUUUCCUCUGUGGCAAACGAGAGAGCUGUGCGGGGAGAGAGCCCGGCCACCGCCCUUUCCCGUUUGCAGCUUGUCCUGGAGGACGUGUGGCCGGGUGCCGUGACAGCCGUCUUGAGCCCACAGGACGUCUUGAGACAGUGCCCAGCGUGUUUCCAGACAGGGGUUUCUUCCCAAAAUCUCUCGGAAAGGUCGUGUGUUCCCCAACCCCAACGAGCCAGAAAGACCGAUCAAGGAAUCCAGAAAAAGGGAAAGGUAGAUGAUGGCUCUCCUUGUGGAGUUAAACUUGAUCGCCACGCGGAGGCCAGUGGCCCGUCAGAUCAAAGCAAGGAUGGGAAACGCUGCCACGCGAACUGAAGGGCAGGGUUGAGAGCUCAGAGCUGGAGAGAAGUGGCGUUUGGGGCACACGCAAACGGCACCAACCUCCGUUGCUCGCCGCUGGGCCUUCACACCAUAAGCGCCCGCUCUUGGCCCGGCCUCUGCCGCUGAUGAGUUGUCCUUGCACGUGAGUUAAAUAUGAACGCGUUUACACACGCGGUAUGCUUCAAACAGAUCCUGUGAGUGGUUUGCUACGGAAGAAGCAGCUGCAGUGCUCAACUGGUUAUUUCAGGGCGUAUGUCGUGCCGGUCGGCUUGCUGGGAGACCUAAACGGCACGUUACUCGAAUCCACUCCGUGACACUCGCUGGCAUCCGGCAGCGUUCAAAGAGUCACGGCGGGCUACCGUGCCUUGUCACGCACAUGAAAUACUUGUGUUGGGGCGCCUGGGUGGCUCAGUCGGUUGGGCGUCCGACUUCAGCCAGG